UAUUCCAGUACAGUACUGUGUAGGUAUUUUAAAAGUCAAACUUUUCAUUGUUUACGAGGAAUAUUUCUGCUAAAUUUCUGAGACUACAAAUGAAGAAUUGUUCAUCUAUCUUUGCAAUCCAGUUUUAUUACAGUGCAGAGAUCUAAAAUACGGAGAACUAUUACCUUAAUUAAAUAGCACAUAUAACAUUGAAAAUACUUCCUGAAGUGUCUUAAUGGAUGCUGAAAGAAAGAAAAAGGACUCAGAACAGAUUGCGAACAGUUCCAUCAAAGAGAUACAUUUUGAGAAGAGUAAGCUGUUAGUGGAAAAUGGGAGUCCAUCCAGGAUUGGAACUUUAAUCUGUAAAUUAUUACAAAAGAAUGGAUGAAGGCUUCAGGAGCAGAAAACACCUGUAAUUAACAUUGCAAAUGAACCAUUAUGGACUUUGGUUUGACCAUCUCUCAUGAACCUACUUCGAGGCAAAGCAAUAAGACACUACAGUUCCAGAGACACCACCAGACCUUGGUUGAGUGGAUUCUUCUUGCAUGACAGACAAAAAUGUGAGGAGUUCUGAAGAGACAACACUGGGCCCAAAAAUCUACUUUCUCUCCGCAGAUGCUGCCAGACCUGCUAGAUUUCUCCAACAAUUUCUAUUUUUGUUUCACCAAUGUCAGGAGGCUGUGUUACAGUGGGGUGGCAGCUUUAUUUUUGGUGAUGUUUAGGGCCGUACAAUUCAGCUGAACAUGGAGCUGCCUGCAUUCAUAUUCUGGUUUGUCUUGUUGGCAAAUUCCCAUUGGUCAGUUUUAUUGUGUAAAUUUGUCCUGCUAUUUUAAGUGAGACAGUGCACAAACAAGUAGUUGUAUCAAUGCAGAAUCAGACCCUUAUUGAAAUCUCAAAAUGCAAAUUAUCAAUAAAGCAAAUGUGUGCAGGUGACAGUAGACCCUAUUAAUUGCAGAGAUACCAAGUUACGUAAUGUAAGCAAUUAAUGAAGAUACAUGAAUAAAACUAAAAUACAUGUUGUUCUUCUCAAUUCUUUCCAAUUAUUUCAUUGCUAUGGUUACAUUGUUUUAAUUAGCUCAAAGCCAUCUCUCAUAGGCAUCAGUGAUUAGAUAGACGUUUGGCAGAUCGUUAUCGACAUUGAUGAAUGUUUGCUUUCAGACAUUACAUCAUUCUCCCUAUUUAACUAUUUUCAUUUGUUCCACGUGCGCUCUUAACAUAUGACUUACAAUUCCAUUUUAUUCAGCCUUCGAGUCCAGAAAGAAAUUUUAACCCGUGCGUUGGUAAUUUAACGAGUGCUGAUGCUGCAGGUUUCUUGGGUGAUUCAGUUUUUCAGGUAGUAGAGAUUCUUGUUCCCACUUCACCACCCUCACUACAUGGAUUGGGUGAAUGAUGCUCAAUGGAUUACAAUCAGGAUAAUCUUGGUUGAUCCUUUUACUUUUCUCAAUCCUAGUAUAAUCUAGUCAGUUUUGGCAUCUUUACUGCAACCAUUUCUUUGAUGAAGGAAGAAGGCUGCCCCACUGUGAGUUUAGCAACAACUGGGAAUGAAAAAUAUUGUUUAUAUGAUAUGGCUAUUUUAGUUAGCAAAGGAAACAUAUGGGUCAGAAAGUGACAAAGAUGUAGCAUAUUAUGCACAUUGUUUAGCAGAAGCAAAGUGUC
Stegostoma tigrinum is the source of this 1635-nucleotide long non-coding RNA. RefSeq lists it as uncharacterized. The record is from RefSeq and is a predicted model, not a curated record. The transcript has 4 exons. NCBI's taxonomy places the organism in Eukaryota, Metazoa, Chordata, Chondrichthyes, Orectolobiformes, Stegostomatidae.